Molecule: ribosomal RNA, 231 nt
Filed under: uncultured bacterium
Lineage: Bacteria
Description: partial 16S ribosomal RNA
Rfam family: Bacterial small subunit ribosomal RNA
Source: RNAcentral
GAGUGAACGCUGGCGGCAGGCCUAACACAUGCAAGUCGAGCGGCAGCGGGGUUCCCGCGAGGGGAUGCCGGCGAGCGGCGGACGGGGUGAGGAACACAUCGGAAUCUGCCUGGUUGUGGGGGAUAACGUAGGGAAACUUACGCUAAUACCGCAUGCGACCCUGAGUCGACGGACUGGGGGUAGAAAGUGAGGGACCUUCGGCCUCACGCGACCAGAUGAGCCGAUGUCGGA